Molecule: transfer RNA, 66 nt
Filed under: human gut metagenome
Rfam family: tRNA
About the family: Transfer RNA (tRNA) molecules are approximately 80 nucleotides in length.
Source: RNAcentral
AGAGUAGCUCAGUGGUAGAGCAGAGGACUCAUAAGCCUUUGGUCGGUGGUUCAAGUCCACUCUCUG